Molecule: small RNA, 126 nt
Filed under: Marmota monax (woodchuck)
Lineage: Eukaryota; Metazoa; Chordata; Mammalia; Rodentia; Sciuridae
Source: RNAcentral
GCCAGGUGUGGUGGCACACACCUGUAAUCCCAGGGCUCAGGAGGCUGAGGCAGGAGGAUCACAAGUUUAAAGCCAGCCUCAGCAACUUAACAAGACUGUAAGCAACUUAGUGAGAUCCUGUCACUA